Molecule: ribosomal RNA, 253 nt
Filed under: uncultured bacterium
Lineage: Bacteria
Description: partial 16S ribosomal RNA
Rfam family: Bacterial small subunit ribosomal RNA
Source: RNAcentral
UACGUACCGGACGAACGUUAUUCGGAAUUACUGGGCUUAAAGAGUUCGUAGGCGGCUGCGUAGGUGAGGUGUGAAAGCCCACGGCUUAACCGUGGAAUGGCGCUUCAAACCACGCAGCUUGAGGGAGACAGGGGUGAGCGGAACGGAUGGUGGAGCGGUGAAAUGCAUUGAUAUCAUCUGGAACACCGGUGGCGAAGGCGGCUCACUGGGUCUCUUCUGACGCUGAGGAACGAAAGCUAGGGUAGCGAACGGG